AACAUGGUCUGUGAAGGAGGUGGAGGGAGUCUGUUUAUAGCUGGAUCACUCAUGCUGUGUCCUCAGAGCAGAAUUAGAAAAAGUAUGUCUUCUAGAUCAAGGCCUUGCCUAAAUAGGAAGUCUGGAGAUCACCUAAACAAAGAGAUGGCUGUGCGACUUUGAAGGAGCGUUGGCUUAUGUUCCUUUUCAGAGAAACAGCAAGUACUCCUAGUAUUACUGAUUACUGGAUUUAUGACUUGGGAUGUCUAUGAAUCCGGUAGUGGGUUGAUAAAUCUACUCUGAAACCUCCUGGAGACCUCAAACUCAAUAUCGAACGUGGGACCUCAUGCUGUAAGACUUGUUUUUUAAUCAUCAGGAUGUACAUUAGAAGGUGACAAUGUUCAAAUAUGGAAAUAUAUUAAACCAGACACCUAUUUAUUGGCACUUGCUGCUUAGGCAAGAAGGAUACUGCUUCUCAAGAAUUGCACCAAGAUACAACCUCCUCCCUAUUUUGCUAUAUCUUCAGUGAAACUCUGAUAUUGAAUACACAUCAUUGCCAGUGAAACAUCUUAGCAUCUGCAAUGGGAGGAUCUGCUGUACCAUAUUAAAAUUUAAUAUGGAGAACUUCGGUUUACCCAGGCUGCAGGCAUAUGUGUGAGAGCUGGGGAAGAUGGGCUAGGACAAAUUAACAGAGCAAUAUCCCACUGUGGGAAAAGACUUUGGUGACAAAAGUUGAACUGAACUUAUUGGGGAGAAACCUGACACAAAUUGGCAUAGAAUAGUUAUAGCAUUUUUUCACAUUUAAUGAAAAUAUUUCUGUAUUCUGCUGCAGAAAUAUUAAUGUGUGUGAUAAUGAGGUGCUUUGCCAGAAUCCACUAUAGUUUGUUAAAGUACCAUAAGGUUUACAUACUCUGUUAACUUCCUGAACUCCAAAAAAUUUCAGAAUUCCAGGUUUCAGCUGAUUUUUUGGGUUUCCAAGAGGGUCCGUGGACCUGAAUUUGGAUCGGAGGGUGUGAGGGGGUUAAUGAAUGGAAAAAGCUUUUCUGGAAAUCAUAGCCCAGAGUUCAGUGCUUGGCCUGCUGUGUUUAAAGUAAUCCUUGCUCAUGUGAGACCAAAAGUGACUCCAUUUUGCUAAUGUGAGACCAGAAUGACUCCAUUUUGUCCAAAAUGGAGCAGUCUCCUUUGUUCUUUCAAAUUAAUGAUUAAAUGUGCUUAA
Molecule: non-coding RNA, 1195 nt
Organism: Heterocephalus glaber (naked mole-rat)
Lineage: Eukaryota; Metazoa; Chordata; Mammalia; Rodentia; Bathyergidae
Source: RefSeq, a predicted model, not a curated record